UUCCUCCUAAACCUUUUCACUAAGGUUGAUUUUGUGGUGCGACCUACCACAUUUGUCUCAAUUACCCUCCCAAUUUCAAGAACAAUCCUAUUAUAUCCAGAGAGUUUUAAUAUUUAUUUCAUAUACGUACUUGAUUUCUUUCGAAACCAGACACUCACCAUCUCGGAGUACAUCUAUGUACCAAAGAACUCAUUACUACUCUAUUCCAAGAUUUCUAGGGCUGCUCACACUUCUUAAUUGCUUUUACUUAACCACUAAACAAUACCACAUUAUUAAA
This 277-nucleotide long non-coding RNA is filed under the name Lathyrus oleraceus (garden pea). RNAcentral's name for it is "Pisum sativum (pea) long non-coding RNA (PSAT_LNC022958)". Lineage: Eukaryota; Viridiplantae; Streptophyta; Magnoliopsida; Fabales; Fabaceae. The record is from RNAcentral.